UCUUAUUCAAAAGAGAAAACAUCACAUGAGAUUUAAGCAUAGCAACCUUAACUUGACAUUUAAAGUUUACAAUUAUAUAGGUAUAUUACACUAGCAGUAGCUAAACGUAUUCUAAUUAUGUUUUAGUUUCAGGGGAACGAAUUGUGCGUUGCUCGAUUCAUGAUUCGUUUUCUAGUUGUAUUUGUAAUUUUCCGUUACUUUCUAUUUUAAGUAUCACCUGAUGUGCGAUGUAACAUUAAAAUGGCAUCAAUGACUUAUUCUCAUAAACUGAUGGAAUCUAAAUACCAUAACUGGAUUAAAGCUGGUUUAGCUGUGCUAUUUACCAAAGAAGGAAUUCAACAAUUUGUUUAUGAUGAAAUCGAACAGUUUCAGCAAAAGUGUUUGACUGACAUUUGCAACAGUGAUGGAAUUCCAGUUGGAACAACGUGUUCAAGCUGCUUCACAGAAAAUAUUGUAGUUUGUCAUACAAAUAGAAUAUGCAAUGUAAGACACGGGGACUGUAGUUUUCAUAGAAACGCUGCUAGGCUAUACAACCCUGCAAGCUGCCCAAAUAAAAUAAGUCAUGACUUCAAAACAAAAAUAGAGAAAGCUCAUCGUUACAACGGUCUAUCUUAUCGUAAUACGGACGCUACACAGUGGUGCAGCAAUCCAUGGGAAGUUGCCAAAUGUUUCAUGCCCACCGGAUGGGUACAUGGAUGUGACAAAUGCAGCUGAGACGGACUUCAGUGGAAUCAUCGGUGUUAUCAUUAACUACAAAGGCUUUCAAUCAAACGUAUACGAUAUCAAUAUCUUUGACAAAGGAAAUGCUGAACAAUUUGAGGCUGAAAAUCUGAUUUUAUUAAUUUACUUGUCAUAGAGGGUUCAUAGGAUGCUCUAGUGUUCUAGAGGUUGAAUUUUCAAAUUCAUAAUGAGUUACUAUUGAGGUCAUGUAUCCUCAUGGAAAAGCAAAUGUUCCCGACGAUUUUGUCAAUAAGUUUUCAAAUUAAUGUUUAAUGUGAAUUUGAUAAACAUGAUAAAUGAAUGUUGUACUCUCUGUUGCUUACUUGCAGGAGAGAGAUAUCGGCAAAUUUGUUCGACAUUCACCGACUUUUGAAGUAAAAGAUACAGACUUACAGCAGUGCUUUACUUGCUUGCAUAAUCUACUCUCGGAUCCUGGAUACUUGGCUACGAAUGCAGAUGCGCAGAAUGCUAGACGGAAAUUAUCACAGGUUGCGAAUACCUUAACAGACACCACAAGACUAUUCAGCAACUAUGUAUGAAAUGCAAUGCAACGGGAUGUGUAGCCGAUCUUCCCCCGAAGACCCAGAGGCAAAGAAGACCCGAGGUGCGUGCACAUCCGUGCAUUAUUUCAUCACGAAGUGCCACUUGAGUAGAAUUACCGACCUUCCAUAAGCCAGUUGGAUGGCUUCCUUACAUGAAGAAUUCAACGGCCUGAGUGAGGCUGGAACCCACAUCGAUGAGGGCAGAGACCUUAACCACUUUGCUACGAAAAACCCCUUUACUAUUAUUUUAAUAGCUUACAUAUAAUCAUAUGGGACCCCAUUGAAAAUGAUUCGAUUGAUGUCCCUAUUUUUAGCGUAUCAU
Long non-coding RNA from Mercenaria mercenaria, 1584 nucleotides. RefSeq lists it as uncharacterized. The transcript has 3 exons. Lineage: Eukaryota; Metazoa; Mollusca; Bivalvia; Venerida; Veneridae. The record is from RefSeq and is a predicted model, not a curated record.